UCCUACGGGAGGCAGCAGUGGGGAAUAUUGCACAAUGGGCGCAAGCCUGAUGCAGCCAUGCCGCGUGUAUGAAGAAGGCCUUCGGGUUGUAAAGUACUUUCAGCGAGGAGGAAGGUGUUGUGGUUAAUAACCGCAGCGAUUGACGUUACUCGCAGAAGAAGCACCGGCUAACUCCGUGCCAGCAGCCGCGGUAAU
RNAcentral lists this ribosomal RNA (195 nucleotides) under uncultured bacterium. RNAcentral describes it as "partial 16S ribosomal RNA". It matches the Rfam family "Bacterial small subunit ribosomal RNA", at positions 337 to 524 of the family's 1533-position model. The record is from RNAcentral.